UCAUUAAAAAAUAGCCCUAGGCUAUAUCCACCUUGUGUGCAAACAAUGGAAAGAGAAAAUGGAAUUCAGAACACUUUUUCUUCGGGGAAAAUGUUACCAAAUUCUCUAUAAUUUUUAUAAAUACCAUCAACAAUUAAUUUGAAAAAAAAAUUUUUUUUAAUAAAAAUUAUUAUACAACUUUCAACAACGGAUCUCUUGGCUCUCGCAUCGAUGAAGAACGCAGCGAAAUGCGAUACGUAAUGUGAAUUGCAGAAUUCAGUGAAUCAUCGAAUCUUUGAACGCAUAUUGCACUCUUUCGAGAGUACACCUGUUUCAGUAUCAUAAAACAACAUCCAAAUUUGGUUUGUUUAUUGUCAAUCAAUUUUUGGGAUUUGGGCUCUGCAGAAUUAAUUUUUUUAGUUUGGCUGGCCUUAAAUGAUUUAGCCAUAUCGUAAUUGUUUGGGUGAAAAGGCGUAAUAGUUGGUACCUUUGGAUCCAUCCCUUUCGCUGAAGCCUAUCUUUUAUGAAAUCUUGGCUCAAUAAUAUGGAAGAAUGAUAUAUAUAUAUGUAUAUCAUUAUUUAGAUCUGAAAUCAGGUGGGAUUACCCGCUGAACUUAAGCAUAUCAAUAAGCGGAGGAAAAGAAACUAACAAGGAUUCCCCUAGUAACGGCGAGUGAAGCGGGAAAAGCUCAAAUUUAAAAUCUGGCAGGUCCCCUGUCCGAGUUGUAAUUUGAAGAAGUGUUUUCGGUAUUCGUCUGGGUAUAAGUCCUUUGGAACAGGGCAUCAUAGAGGGUGAGAAUCCCGUUUAUGAUCCGGAAUUGGAUACUGUGUGAUACGCUCUCUAAGAGUCAGGUUGUUUGGGAAUGCAGCCUAAAAUGGGUGGUAAAUUUCAUCUAAAGCUAAAUAUUGGCGAGAGACCGAUAGCGAACAAGUACCGUGAGGGAAAGAUGAAAAGAACUUUGAAAAGAGAGUUAAACAGUACGUGAAAUUGUUGAAAGGGAAACGUUUGAAAUCAGUCAUGCGGGCGGGUAAUCAGCUUGGCCCUUGGGUCUUGUGCACUUUCCCGUGUCGCAGGUCAGCGUCGGUUUUGUUUGCCGGAUAAAUGCCAAGGGAAUGUAGCUUCACCCUUCCAGGAGGAGUGUUAUAGCCCUGGUAAAUACGGCGGUCGGGACCGAGGUCUGCAGUCGAUGCCUCUGGCUGGGGACUCCAUCGCUCAUUCUCACCCGCGCCUAGACAGCUUGCUGANCUAGGUGUGUGGUUUGGGGGUGANCANCGGUGGCCUACCA
This 1265-nucleotide ribosomal RNA is filed under the name uncultured fungus. RNAcentral's name for it is "eukaryotic LSU rRNA". The stretch from base 561 to 1265 matches the Rfam family "Eukaryotic large subunit ribosomal RNA", at positions 1 to 612 of the family's 3401-position model. Lineage: Eukaryota; Fungi. The record is from RNAcentral.